RNAcentral lists this ribosomal RNA (537 nucleotides) under uncultured bacterium. Its description in RNAcentral is "bacterial SSU rRNA". It matches the Rfam family "Bacterial small subunit ribosomal RNA", at positions 70 to 642 of the family's 1533-position model. The record is from RNAcentral.
ACCUGAAGCUUCGGCGAUUGUUUCUAGUGGCGGACGGGUGAGUAACGCGUGGGUACCUGCCUUAUACAGGGGGAUAACAGUCAGAAAUGACUGCUAAUACCGCAUAAGGCUGCAUGGCAAAAACUCCGGUGGUAUAAGAUGGACCCGCGUUGGAUUAGCUAGUUGGUGAGGUAACGGCCCACCAAGGCGACGAUCCAUAGCCGACCUGAGAGGGUGACCGGCCACAUUGGGACUGAGACACGGCCCAAACUCCUACGGGAGGCAGCAGUGGGGAAUAUUGCACAAUGGGCGAAAGCCUGAUGCAGCGACGCCGCGUGAGCGAAGAAGUAUUUCGGUAUGUAAAGCUCUAUCAGCAGGGAAGAUAAUGACGGUACCUGACUAAGAAGCACCGGCUAAAUACGUGCCAGCAGCCGCGGUAAUACGUAUGGUGCAAGCGUUAUCCGGAUUUACUGGGUGUAAAGGGAGCGCAGGCGGUGCGGCAAGUCUGAUGUGAAAGCCGGGGCUCAACCCCGGUACUGCAUUGGAAACUGUCGUACU